This is a long non-coding RNA of Panthera uncia (snow leopard), 1429 nucleotides long. RefSeq lists it as uncharacterized. The transcript is spliced from 4 exons. The record is from RefSeq and is a predicted model, not a curated record. NCBI's taxonomy places the organism in Eukaryota, Metazoa, Chordata, Mammalia, Carnivora, Felidae.
UACCAUUAUUUCACUGGCAGGGAAUCUGAUAUGUGAAGAGUUAAGGCAUUGCCAGUGGUCUGGAGGCUGAGUCGUGAUGGAGCUGAGAUUCAAACCCAGGCAUUUUGCUUCAUUGCUCACGUGUUGUCAUCUUGACUAUAAAUGAGGAAUCUUGCAGCAGGGGAGAUCAUGAACAAAGUUGGUAGUUUUUGAGAAGCUGCCCUUGAAGACAUGUAAUUCUGGAGAGAACUACAGAUGCUGAGUGCUUUACUUCGGUUAGCCUAAGAUAAAAUACCCAGGAGGAGUGAACAUUGGUAUUGGAGUCCAUGUAUGAAGCCACUGGAAAUGAGUGCUGAAGUUCUUCCAGAAAACAUUUUAGAAUGAGGUGGGAAUUCAACAACACUAAUUUACCAUGGACCACUUUCAGAAGGGUUGUGUGAUGGCAGAACAAUUUCCAAGUGGGAUUUCGCUCAUGUGAAAACAACUGCAUGUGAACAGAGGAAAAAAAAAGUUUCUGUAUUUUGAAAAAUGUAGUGGUAAUACUUAAAUGAAGAUUAAUUUUUUCCCCUGUGGCUACACUGUGACUUUGAAUGAAACCAAUUAAUUCCCACUGUGUGCAGCUAAACAUCAUUGUCUCACUGAUGCUGGAGCCAACGCUGCCCCAACCAUGACUCACUGGGAGCACUUGUUUAAGUGGAAGAAUUUUGCCUUUCUGCAUUGUUAGCUGUCCCAACCUUUGAUUUUUCUCUGUGAACAUGGGUCCUAGUCUCUGCUAAACAUGGGCAUUUUUUCUUGCCACAAUACCCAAACUACCUACAUGUGAGGUAUAUUUUUUCUCCAGAUGCAUUAAAAAAAACCCCACAAUUUUUAGUCCUUUCCCUCAUCCCCACUUUUUUUCUGCUGUAGCUCUCCGCCUUUCAUACAAGGGACCAGAGCCCAGCCCCUAUGAGUGCUGGGCAGCCAGCAAAGUCUCAACAUGCUGCUGGUGUGGGAGGGGAUUCUGUGUGAGCAAGCUGGCUGCCACAUCUGGGGGAGGCCCGAGUGAUGAAAGAUGGCAGCUGAGAUGAUGGGAGAGGAGUCAGUUUCUGGGAGGCAGGGGAAGGCUCCUCUCUUAUUCCCCUCGCCUAGAUCCAAAUACCAUUUGUGUGAAUCAGCUGCCACUUGGCCUCAAGGGACUUUGCUGCCAGAUGCUCACUCCCCUUCCCCCUUCUUGAAGCGAGAGCCAAAUCCCCUCCUGACCUCUCCACCUGCAGUAGAUGUCUUCUAGGGCCGCUUGACUGUCGCAGGGCGUUCAGGGUACAGCAGCAGGCUUUUCUCUCGUGCAGAAUGUUAUAGGGCUUUGAAAGUAACAAUGAAGGAGCUGGAGUUACUCUGAGUCACAUCAGUGAGCAUCUUUGUGGGCACGUUCUCUAACAUCGUUGAGCAUUUACUGUGUGUGGGCUCUGUGCUA